RNAcentral lists this long non-coding RNA (539 nucleotides) under Erythranthe guttata (spotted monkey flower). Its description in RNAcentral is "long non-coding RNA (EGUT_LNC001563)". Lineage: Eukaryota; Viridiplantae; Streptophyta; Magnoliopsida; Lamiales; Phrymaceae. The record is from RNAcentral.
CUUCAAGCAGCUGGAGAAGAACUUCCGAUGAAGAUGAGGUGGUGGAUAUGGCGUUCUGGAGAAUAGCCCUCAAUUCAAGAAACUCCAUCAAUUUUAUCUCCUCUUCAAUGGCCGACGUUGCCAAGUCUUCUUCAAACAACUCCUCUAAUUAUUCUAAACAUUAUUCCGACAAGAUCACUCCUCCCCCUCGAAUCAGUAUUUUCACCGCCACCUCCUCCACGGCGCUGAUGUAUUCCAUUCGCCCAAGCACCACCUCCAUCAAGGGCUCUCCUGCGAAGAACUCUGUUUCUUGAUCGAAGCCGAUUAGAGGGGUUCCCGUGUACCAAAGCCCUCAUUUCCGUUCGCCGCCGCCCAUCAACAUCAACAUCUAGAGGGUCGCCGCUAAUGGCGGCGUCUUCUUCCGGUAAACUGAAUAUAUCGAAUUGUGGCCCAAAAAUAAUUCCCCCAUUUAUCGAUAUCAUAUUUCAAAAUCAGGAAAUGGGUUUCAAUUCCAAGGAAUAAUUUUCUAGAUUUUUUUUUCUUCUUCCCUUAAUAAUUAU